AUGUUUUUUAAAAGGUGUUUUCACAAAUAUCCGGGAGGAAGCAAAAUUAAGUGUUAUAUACAAAAAAAAAAAAAAAAAAAAAUAGAUGUUAGCUUAUUCCAUCAACCUUUAUAUUCAAGAAACUCAAAGGGUUACAUAGAUUGGAGAUAUUGUACACCCAAAUCGGGUUACGAGUAUAUGUAUAUAUAUGGGGAAAACACAAUCGAAAUAACAAAUUUACCUAAUAACAAAACAAAUGAAUAUAUUCAAGAAAGACUAAGAAAAAGCUUAAAUAAAUAUGGAAGAUUAAAAAUUUUAAAAUGUUUAAGUAAUAGAAACGAUCCAUAUAUAAACAACAAUGUUGCUUAUGCCAGUUUUUACAAAAAAGCAGAUAUGUAUAAAUGUAUACGAAAUGUAAAUAUAAGAUUACCUUUAUCAUUACAACAUAAAAUUUUAAAAUUUAAAAGCUUAUAUUCUAAUAAAAGUAACGAUUAUAAUUAUUUUUUUAAACAAGAUCAUUAUAAUUACAGUUCAAUAAAUAUAGCGUUAAAUUUAUUUAAAUAUUUACAAUUUCAUAAUUGUUUUUUAAAUAUUAAAGACAUAUAUAAAUAUGUAUUUGAAUAUUCGUAUUAUCCUCAUAAAAUUAUUAGUUCAGGUAUAUCUAUAUAUAAGGUAUUUAACAGUUGGCUUAACUUUAUUAACUUCUUUGAAGAACUUUUUAUCAAAACAAAUAAAAACAAUGAAAUAUUAAUUAGUGCGAAUAUUAUAUCCGAUCAAAAUUUAUGUAUAUAUUUAAAUAACAAAUUAAUCGAAUUAAAAAAAAAAACGAACUCGAUUAACUCUGUACACUGGAGACAACAUUCUUUACAAUUACCACAAGAUGUAGAAGCUAAGUUAAACAAUGAACAUCCACAAAAAUUAAAAGAAGAAAUUCAAAUUUUAUCAAGAACGAAAGAUUUUUACAAGAUUCAUGAUGAACGUCAUUUAUUUAAAUUAAAACUCAACAAAGAGAGGAAAGAAAAAAAAGGGUUAGUAAAAAUGUACUUUCAUUUUUAACAUAUUAUACAUAUUAUGCAUAUAUAUAUAUAUAUAUUUAUGUAUUGUUUUACAUCGUUGAAACUAUUACUAUGUGGAUGAAAUAUUUAUGUGGAUCAUAUUUUAUAAAUUGCCACAUAUAUAUAUAUAUAUAUAUAUAUAUAUAUAUAUAUAUAUAUAUAUAUAUGUAUUACUUUUAAAUAGUACCGAUGUCCAAUAAGUGUUCCUACCAUUAUUAUUUUUAAAUUACAUAAUUUUCACAAAUAAUUACAUAAACAAAUUACAUUGUUUCUCCAAGCUUAAUACAAUAAAUCAUAUAAAACAUGUAGAUAGAUGGUCA
This is a long non-coding RNA of Piliocolobus tephrosceles (Ugandan red Colobus), 1354 nucleotides long. The record is from Ensembl. NCBI's taxonomy places the organism in Eukaryota, Metazoa, Chordata, Mammalia, Primates, Cercopithecidae.